UGGGGAAUAUUGCACAAUGGGCGCAAGCCUGAUGCAGCAACGCCGCGUGAACGAUGAAGGUCUUCGGAUCGUAAAGUUCUGUUGCAGGGGAAGAUAAUGACGGUACCCUGUGAGGAAGCCCCGGCUAAUUCCGUGCCAGCAGCCGCGGUAAUACGGAAGGUUCGGGCGUUAUCCGGAUUUAUUGGGCGUAAAGGGUACGUAGGUGGUUUUUUAAGUCAGGUGUCAAAGCGUGGAGCUUAACUCCAUUAAGCACUUGAAACUGAAAGACUUGAGUGAAGGAGAGGAAAGUGGAAUUCCUAGUGUAGCGGUGAAAUGCGUAGAUAUUAGGAGGAAUACCGGUGGCGAAGGCGACUUUCUGGACUUUUACUGACGCUCAGGUACGAAAGCGUGGGGAGCAAACAGG
RNAcentral lists this ribosomal RNA (403 nucleotides) under Verrucomicrobiota bacterium. Its description in RNAcentral is "Verrucomicrobia bacterium partial 16S ribosomal RNA". It matches the Rfam family "Bacterial small subunit ribosomal RNA", at positions 355 to 776 of the family's 1533-position model. The record is from RNAcentral. Lineage: Bacteria; Pseudomonadati; Verrucomicrobiota.